Molecule: non-coding RNA, 25 nt
Filed under: Rattus norvegicus (Norway rat)
Lineage: Eukaryota; Metazoa; Chordata; Mammalia; Rodentia; Muridae
Source: RNAcentral
UAAAUCAUUGAUAGUUUGGGUUGUC